Molecule: ribosomal RNA, 557 nt
Filed under: uncultured bacterium
Lineage: Bacteria
Description: bacterial SSU rRNA
Rfam family: Bacterial small subunit ribosomal RNA
Source: RNAcentral
ACGGGUGAGUAACGCGUGGGAAUCUACCCAUCUCUACGGAAUAACGCAUGGAAACGUGUGCUAAUACCGUAUACGUCCUUCGGGAGAAAGAUUUAUCGGAGAUGGAUGAGCCCGCGUUGGUUUAUCUAGUUGGUGGGGUAAAGGCCUACCAAGGCGACUAUCCAUAGCUGGUCUGAGAGGAUGAUCAGCCACACUGGGACUGAGACACGGCCCAGACUCCUACGGGAGGCACCAGUGGGGAAUAUUGGACAAUGGGCGCAAGCCUGAUCCAACCAUGCCGCGUGAGUGAUGAAGGCCCUAGGGUUGUGAAGCUCUUUCACCGGUGAAUAUUAUGACAGUAACCGGAGAAGAAGCCCCGGCUAACUUCGUGCCAGCAACCGCGGUAAUACCAAGGGGGCUAGCGUUGUUCGGAUUUACUGGGCGUAAAGCGCACGUACGCGGACUAUUAGUUCAGGGGUGAAAUCCCGGGGCUCAACCCCGGAACUGCCUUUGAUACUGGUAGUCCUGAGUUCGAGAGAGGUGAGUGGAAUUCCGAGUGUAGAGGUGAAAUUCGUAGA